This 482-nucleotide ribosomal RNA is filed under the name uncultured bacterium. RNAcentral's name for it is "partial 16S ribosomal RNA". It matches the Rfam family "Bacterial small subunit ribosomal RNA", at positions 30 to 507 of the family's 1533-position model. The record is from RNAcentral.
AUUGAACGCUGGCGGCAUGCUUUACACAUGCAAGUCGAACGGUAACAGGCCGCAAGGUGCUGACGAGUGGCGAACGGGUGAGUAAUGCAUCGGAACGUGCCCAGUCGUGGGGGAUAACUACUCGAAAGAGUAGCUAAUACCGCAUACGAUCUAUGGAUGAAAGCGGGGGACCGUAAGGCCUCGCGCGAUUGGAGCGGCCGAUGUCAGAUUAGGUAGUUGGUGGGGUAAAGGCUCACCAAGCCAACGAUCUGUAGCUGGUCUGAGAGGACGACCAGCCACACUGGGACUGAGACACGGCCCAGACUCCUACGGGAGGCAGCAGUGGGGAAUUUUGGACAAUGGGCGCAAGCCUGAUCCAGCAAUGCCGCGUGCAGGAAGAAGGCCUUCGGGUUGUAAACUGCUUUUGUAAGGAACGAAAAGGCUCUGGUUAAUACCCGGGGCUAAUGACGGUACCGUAAGAAUAAGCACCGGCUAACUACGUG